This 497-nucleotide ribosomal RNA is filed under the name uncultured bacterium. Its description in RNAcentral is "partial 16S ribosomal RNA". It matches the Rfam family "Bacterial small subunit ribosomal RNA", at positions 27 to 507 of the family's 1533-position model. The record is from RNAcentral.
GGGGGGGGGGGGGGGGGGGGCGGGGAGAGGCAAGGCGAGCGAACAGACGAGGGGCUUGCUCCUCUGACGGUAGCGGCGGACGGGUGAGUAACACGUGGAUAACCUACCUAUAAGACUGGGAUAACUUCGGGAAACCGGAGCUAAUACCGGAUAAUAUAUUGAACCGCAUGGUUCAAUAGUGAAAGACGGUUUUGCUGUCACUUAUAGAUGGAUCCGCGCCGCAUUAGCUAGUUGGUAAGGUAACGGCUUACCAAGGCAACGAUGCGUAGCCGACCUGAGAGGGUGAUCGGCCACACUGGAACUGAGACACGGUCCAGACUCCUACGGGAGGCAGCAGUAGGGAAUCUUCCGCAAUGGGCGAAAGCCUGACGGAGCAACGCCGCGUGAGUGAUGAAGGUCUUCGGAUCGUAAAACUCUGUUAUUAGGGAAGAACAAAUGUGUAAGUAACUAUGCACGUCUUGACGGUACCUAAUCAGAAAGCCACGGCUAACUACGUG